Molecule: ribosomal RNA, 463 nt
Filed under: uncultured bacterium
Lineage: Bacteria
Description: bacterial SSU rRNA
Rfam family: Bacterial small subunit ribosomal RNA
Source: RNAcentral
GAUUAACGCUGGCGGCGUGCAUAACACAUUCAAGUCGAACGGAAUAAGGGCUUCGGUCCUUGUUUAGUGGCGGACGGGUGAGUAACGCGUGAGCAAUCUACCUCCCAGUACGGAAUAACAACCGGAAACAGUUGCUAAUACCGUAUGAAAUGGCAGCAUCGCAUGGUGCAACCAUCAAAGAUUUAUCGCUGGGAGAUGAGCUUGCGUCCGAUUAGAUAGUUGGCGGGGUAAAGGCCCACCAAGUCGACGAUCGGUAGCCGGACUGAGAGGUUGAACGGCCACAUCGGAACUGAGAUACGGUCCAGACUCCUACGGGAGGCAGCAGUGGGGAAUAUUGGGCAAUGGGCGAAAGCCUGACCCAGCGACGCCGCGUGAGGGAAGAAGAUCUUCGGAUUGUAAACCUUAGUCAACAGGGAAGAAGAAAGUGACGGUACCUGUGGAGGAAGCCACGGCUAACUACGUG